This 325-nucleotide unclassified non-coding RNA is filed under the name Hevea brasiliensis (rubber tree). The record is from RNAcentral. Lineage: Eukaryota; Viridiplantae; Streptophyta; Magnoliopsida; Malpighiales; Euphorbiaceae.
CAAAGUGGGUUCAUCUCCACUUGAUUAACUGCAGGAGGAAUCUUUGCAGUAGCAAGCAGGGUCUCAAGCUUCUUGAUUGAAAAGUUGCUCACUCCAAUGGAUUUUGUCAGGCCAAGCUUUUGACAAUCUUCCAUAGCUUCCCACACAGACUUUAAAUCAAAUGGAACAAGGUCCUUUUGCUUCACAGGCAGCUCAUAUUCACCUGGCUUCACGCUCACAGGCCAGUGAACCAGGUACAGGUCGAGGUAAUCCAAUUUAAGAUUCUUGAGAGUUUUAUGUAGUGCAGGGAGGACACAAUCAUGAUGAGCGUCACUGCACCAAAGCU